AUAAACAGGAAGUAUAACUGAGAUAACACUAAUGACAUCAUAAACAUACUUUUACUCGUGCAAGUCCUCAUCUAAACUUGGUCCCUCUUUUAUAGGUGCAAGUCUCCUUUUCUUAGUGGCCUGCUGCACACCGGUACCCGAGCCGUCACAAAUACAUUGCACUGGCGCACAGGCUGCAGACCUAUCUUCAAGUGCAUCACAAUUUCGGGGAGGUGUUCCACAAUUCUUGGAAAAUGUGUUGUUUCUAUUAAGCAUAUGAUCACUACUUGACGGCACCCGCAAGUCCACAAAUAAUUCCAAGUUACCCAGUGAUGAAAACUUAGGCUGAUGAUGAUCUAGUUUCACUUCCAUACUGAGAUUUGUUCCAAUUUUACUAUGAAUUGCGUUUUUUGAUUUAAGCAAAUCAUCAGAUGCACAGAUUGAUUCUUUGGAUGAGUCAGUGUCCAUAAGCACAUUCUGACACAUAUUAGAUUCUCGAUUCCACAAAGGUUCUGCUCCAGAUUCCUUCGAUAAAUAAGCAACACAUGCUUCAGAAGUAGAUGUUUUAGGUUCCUGGAACCCAGUAGUUCCCAAUGACGGGCAGCAGGAAUGCUUAUAACUCUUAUCCUCUUGCUGUUUCAAAACAUAAUUAGAUACAAUAAUAAACUAUAGCAUGCAAUUUUCAAAAAUUAGAACAGUUCAGGUAACCCACUGUCUUAGAACCAGAACAUGCACAUAUUUUUAUAUCUAUUAGUAAGACUGUUUUCUUCACAAAAAAUAUUAGGAAAACAAUUAACUUGUUACAGAAUUCUGCAGAGCCUAGCCAAGCAUGCAAGUUCAAAUUUGUAUCACAUUACGGUGUUUGAAUAUGUUCAAGUUUUACAUAUACUGUACAUAGAUAUACUCAGAAUAUAUGACAGGUCAGACAAAUACUCAACAAAUCGAAAGAGCAAAUUGCAAGGUAGGCUAAGUGGUUAAGCAUCAGAAGGGGAACGCCAAUGAACUUUAAGUUUCCAUAGGUUCGCAACGAUACCACUUCCUAACAGAUAUCACUAACUUGGACCGAUAGGUGUAGUUUACAAUUUAAAACAUGGGAAUAGUGCUCAAGUCCAUUCAAACAUAAAUCUGCCACUAGAUAUGAAAACCAAUUACAGUAUCGAGUUUCAUCUGGUUCUUUCAUACUUUCUUCAAUACCUUUAUUUUGACAAUUUAGUCAACUUAGUAAUAAUUAAAAACUUUGCAUGUAAUGAAUUUAUAUGAUAUUUAUCAUUACAGAGCUACAACUACUAAAAUAACACAAACAAAAAUGUAAAUAUGAUAAUAAAUACGAGUACCAACUACUAAGAGACAUAUUAUAAUAAUAUAAUCAUUUCAUACAAAUUUGUAUAAUAGUAAUGCGAGAUUGAUAAAAUAAUAAUUAACUAUUAUUUGAAGAGAUUUAACAAACAUAUAUAAUAUAAUUAUAAAUAAUAUAUAUGUAUAAUAUAAUUUUAUUUGACAAUCACUAAUAUAUAUGUAUAUAUAAUAAUAUUGCGGUGCGGUGCGGUUUGAACCGCACUACUAAUAUGUCAAACCGCAAUCCGCACCGCACUGCGCGGUUUGUGAAAAAUUAUAAUAAUAUUGCGGUGCGGUGCGGUUUGAACCGCACUACUAAUAUGUCAAACCGCAAUCCGCACCGCACUGCGCGGUUUGUGAAAAAUUCAAACCGCAACCGCACCACGAAAAUUAAAACCCGCGUUUUGUGGUGCGGUUUGGUGCGGUGCGGGCGGUUUAUGCGGUGUGGGCGGUUUUUUGAUCAACCCUAAUUUGGUUGUACAACUGUCAAUGAUGAAUAUGUAAUGACUGCAUAUUUUAGUUUGAUAUUGGUCCAAAAAAUUCUGUAUCAGCGUCAUAACAUCACAGCAGAAAAGUCACUCUACCCUUCUUCCAACCAAUAAAGUUUACCGAAAGGCAACUCUUAGCAGUUUUCUAUUCAGAUAAUGAGGAUAAAAGUAGAACAUGUUACCACUAUAUCAUAAACAUAUCAACUCAUCCCACAAAGUUCUUAAUUAGACGCAAGUUGAAAAAAAGAGAGAAGUGUUGAAAAUAUAAAAUACCAGAAAAGCUAGAUACCCCAAAAGUUAUUCCAAAAAAUUUCCCAAAUGCUGAUGUGGGCAUAUAUAAAUGGUAACAUUUCUAUUAAUGAUAUUAGACCCCGACGCGUGUACAUACGUCCACAAAUCAAGACAAGCCACUUGUCUGCCACGUCAUUUGGGGAAGAAAAUUUGAACAAAAAUUUGGGGUACCUAGCACUACUCAUAAAAUACCUCUAAUGGUGGCAUGGCAUUACUGCACCCAGAUGGGGGCUCAACAUCCUGAGAGAGAGAUUCUACAGCAACUUCUUCCUUGGCAAGUCCUCUGGGAACGAAGCUAGAGCCAUUAACAGGUUGCAUACUCUCAGACACAUUCCUGAACUCCUCAGAGGGGGCUGUCUGCUCAAAAGCUUGACAGAAAGAUUCUGCCUCGGCUAGUCCUCUGGAAACGAAGCUAGAGCAAUUAACAGGUUGAAUAAUCUGAGACACAUUCCUAGACUCCUCAGAGGGGGCUGUCUGCUCAAAACCUUGACCCAAAGAUUCCACCGCAGCUUCUGCCUCAGCAGGUCUUCUGGAAACAAAGCCCAUCUUCCAACCAACAGAGUUUACAGAAAAGGCGACUGUUAGCAGCUUGCUAUUCAAAUAGAGAGGAUAAAAGUAGAACAUGUUACCAUUAUAUCAUGAACAUAUCAACCCAUCCCACUUCAUUCAUAAUCACAAGUUGAAGAAAAAGAGAACACUGUCAAGAUUAUAUAAUACCUCUAUUGGUGGCAUGGCAUUACUACAUUCAGAGUGGCCAUUCUGCUCAAAAUCUUGACAGCAAGAUUCUACAGCAGCUUCUGCCUUCGCAGUUCCUCUGGAAACAAAACCAAAGUCAUUAACAGGCUGAAUACUCUCAGAACCAUUCUUAAACUCCUCAGGGGGGGCUGUCUGAUCAAAAGCUUGACAGAAAGAUUCUACAGCAGUUUCUGCCUCAGCAGGUCCUCUAGAAACGAAGCCAGAGUCAUUAAAAAUUUGAAUACUCUCUGAGGUAUUCUUAAACUCCUCAGCGGGAGCAGUCCGCUCAAGAGGUUGACAAAAAGAUUCUACAGCAGCUUCUGCCUCAGCACGUCCUCUUGAAACGAAGCCUGAGUCAUUAGCAAAAUGAAUACUCUUAGAGGAGUUCUCAAACACCUCAGAGGGGGCUGACCUCUCAAAAUUUUGACAGAAAGAUUUUACUGCAGCUUCUGCCUUAGAGGCGGCUAUCUUCUCAGAUGCUUGACAGAAAGAUUCUACAGCAGCUUCUGCAUCAGAGGGGGCUGUCUGCUCAAAAGCUUGACAGAAAGAUUCUCCAGCAGUUUCUGCCUCAGAAGGGGUUGUCUUCUUAUAAGCUUGACAGAAAGAUUCUACGCCACCUUCUGCCUUAGUCUUCUCAAAAUCUUGACAGAAAGAUUCUACAGCAGCUUCUGCCCUAGUCCUCUCAAAAGCUCCACACAAAGAUUCUACAGCAGCUUCUGCCUCACCAGGUCCUCUUAAAAUGAAGCCAGAGACAUUAGCAGAUUGAAUACUAUCAGCUAAAGAUGAAUGUAACAAGCCUAAUUCAAGCCUCUGUCCAUCUUCUGAACAAGGUACACUUUCAUGGACAACCUUUGAAAAACUGCUUCCGUCCCAGAGGAACUCUGAAGUAGUUCUAUCUUUAUCAACAGAUUUAAGAUACAUGGAGGUACACUUCUCAUCUUCUCCAUUGCUUGGAGACGGUUCAGAAGAACCAUCAUCUAACAUAUCAUAUAUAAGUCUUUGGAUAUAGGCUCGCUUAAGAGAAGCUUCAGCAGGUUGAAACCAAUUAGCAGUAAGCUGAAAUCAAAUAAAUCCAUUUACAUUAAACUACAUAAGGUUGAAACAAUAAUAAAAACUUCAAUGGGUUAUGAUCUAUCGCAUUUUCCUACGGAAGCAAAGGAAGUAACACGUUAAGAGCCAAUAGUUGAGCUUGAACAUCAUACAAACAAAAGUUCAGUUUAGAAUUGUAAGUCCAAAAAAGGGAUAUACAUGUUAAUAUGCCAGAACAAAUCUUCAAAAGGCUCAAUAAGGGAUGAAGAAGAUUCGACUCAUUUAGUUAUUUAAUAGUUAAAAUCAAACAGAUACUCACUUCCCUACACACACCCGCACUCACGGAGCUUAGAAAGCUCAUUGAGUUUCAUACAUAUAUCCAUAGAUAAGACUCUUAUUGGUUUGACCUUAAAAGUCAAAGAUACAUAAAUUGAAAAUACUAACAGUGGAAAAUUACUGUUGAUACAAUGUACCAUGGUAAAAAUGAUGUGAUCAACAUUAACAGAGCUCAAAACCAAAAGCAAGAUAUGAAAGGAGGGAGAAUGGAGUGAAGUUCACUUACGAAGUUAGAAAAACUUGAGAUUUUAAGAGGAUUGAAAUUAACAAGAUUUCCUUCCAAAAAGAGUUCCACAUAGUGCAGCAAGAAGAGUCCACAGUCGUAUAAAUUUUGCUGCUGCGGGAGCUGCACAACAACAAAACUAACCUUAAGCCUGAAGAAACUCAUUUCAAAUAAAGUUGUGCCACAAUCUCAUUAAGCCACACAUAGAAAAACAGAUAAAUCACCUCAAGUGAGAAGAAUCUCAUAUUUGAAAAUUUUAAAAAGAUAUCCUCAGAUGAAUCCGCGUGCCGCUCCUUCCAUUCUUCCCACAAAUAACUAUGGUUUUAAGUCCAUGAAACAAGUUAAUAUAUAUAUUAAAACUUCACAUUAAUAUGAGACAGGAAUGUGCUUAUACAGUUACACAGGAGAAUUUCGUGUGUGUAUGAGCUUUCACACUGAUACCCAAAACUCAAAGCUGGACACCCAAAAUAGCAAAGAAACAUUUGCCCUUUACUCAGAGACAACAGUAGUUCCAUCAAUAAAAAUUAUAAAGUUCAAUAUUAUCUCUUUGACUAUAUUUGAGAGCAAACAUAAAUAAUAUAAUAAUACAUGUAAUCGAAGUGCCAAAUACUUGAAAAAUAAACAGACACCUGACCCAGAUCUAGAAUAGAACUGCAUUGUCUCACUUCAUAAUAAGCAUAAAAGCUGACCACAGAAGGAGGGAUUAGUAUAUUAAUUCAGAGUGGUAAAUCUCUUCAAGUUGUUCAAGCAUCUAAAACUAAAAUGAGAGCAGAAAAAACUUAAGUUGUAUAAACUUUCCCUGAGAACUGUUACGCCCUAUGUUCACUGAAAGUGUCACGUAACUUCCAAACAAAUAACAAUGAAAAAAAGAGAUAUAAACCAAUGACCUCUUGGUCAGAUGGUAUCAUCCUUGCUCGGUUUAGCGUAGGUCAAGGGUUUAAAUCGUGUCAAACACAAAAUGGGUCUGCGAGUGUGUUUAAUUAUUAAUAAAAAAGAUAUAUAAUUCAGACAUGUGCCUGAAUAGGCACACAGGUACUUCAUAAAAUAAAUUUAACCACUAAAAGAAAAAAAACUAUGUACUUCUAUAAGAGAUGGCCUAUUGAAAAAAACACGCAGACCACCUAAUUGUCUAUAAAACUGAUAAUGGUAUCAACAAGCUAAGUUCAGCUAUAUUACAUUUAAAACCAAUAGCUCUUACAGCACAAAUUCUGAUUUUAGGUAUUUUAAUCUACCAAUUGAACUAUAAUUUGAGACAUGACAAUACAACAAUGUAGAUGAAAAGGGAGUAUACACCAAGAACUUCGGCUAUAAUCUGAGCCCGGAGGUACUCCCUUUAGGGCACAUACAUGUCUGGGAAAACUCUAGUCAUCUUUGCUGUAAGUCUUGCCAGCUUCCUCGUCUAAAUUUUACAAUACCAACAAUUUUUUAUUUUUUUUUAAUUUCUCCAGAAGCUAAUAUUUGAGAAUCACUACCCUCACAAUCCUCCACAGUGAAAAGCAAUUUGGAAAAUAUUAUAACAAUAAUCGCCCUCUCUCAAGGAUUAUGCAGUCAAAGUUUCCUACCCAAAAUGGGUUAUGAAACAAAACAAUUUUUAGAGUUCUAGAUAUCCAACACAGGCAACAAAAAGAGAAAGUUCAACCAACCAAGAGCAUUCAUAGAAAUAUUAUGCAACCCGUAAACUACUAACAUCCAUUAAAACACACACACACACACACACACACACACACACAUAUAUAUAUAUAUAUAUAUAUACACACUAAAAACUCUAUAAAUUAAUAAUGUUGGGACCGGAGAAUUUUAUUAAUUUAGAGAGUUAUUAAUUUAUCAAUAAAUUAAUAAUUAUUAAUUAAAAGAGUUUUUAAUCGAUUAUACUAUACAUACCAAACAAAAAGGCAUACUGUAUAUAAAUUAAUAUACCAAACAAAAAGACAAAUUAGUCUAUGCCUCUUAGAAUUACACUGAACCUUGGGAAUCAACGUAAAUUAGUAACUACUAUGUUGAUAUAAUGAUAUGUAUUAAAAUCAAUAAUGACUUUUGAAGUACUGUACAUAAAAUAUAAAUAAGGGGUCGUUUGGUUCAUGGGUAUGUGGAAUCAGGUAUGGGGUUUGUCCAUUCCAAACCCAUACCUGGUGUUUGGUUGGUAAAAAUAUAAUCUCAAACCCAUACCUUAAACCCGCAAGGUAUGAGUUUUUGAUACCUAGGUGGGGAGGUGGGUAUGAGAUGGAGGUAUGGGUAUCCAUUCAUUUUUGAUUUUUUUGUCUCUAUUUAAGUAAUCAAAUAUUUUUAUACAAAAUUAAAUCAAUGAUGCAAAAAUAUAUAACAAUAGUAAUAAUUUUAUUAAUUUUUUCAAUUAAUAUAAAUUAAUAACUUAUUUUUUACAAAAAUUGCAUAUAUUGAUUCCAGCACUCAACCAAACACAUGAUAUCAUAUAUGAUACCUCAAACCCAUACCAGCUUAACCCGAUUCCUCAUUCCAACCCGAUACCACUCUUCGAACCAAACGACCCCUUAGAGGAAUAGAUGUGUUCAAUAUAUUCUUAAGCAAGUUUGGCAUAUAUAAAUUACAUAAAUUACAUAAAUAUGUUAAAAUAUUCAAAUUAUAUCUCACAAGAUGGCUUCUCAUCUAAGAGGUGUUGCGAAAUCUAAAAGGAAAACAGACAACUAUUAAAUCAUAUUUCAAUAGAAUGUAAUAUAUUUUUUUAAGUUUCUAUAAAUUAAUAAUUUAAGAUUUUCUUGGGACCGAAAAUUAUAAAGGGAUCUCCCAAAAAAUUAUUAUCUUAUUAUUUUAUCGAAUUUUUCAGUUUUUUAUAUUGGCCCAAGUCGGGACCGGACAAAGUUAUUAUUUUAGAUAGUUUAUUAAUUUAAAGAGUUUCUCCUGUAUAUAUAUAUAUGUGUGUGUGUGUGUGUGUCUAUAUAUAUAUAUAUAUAUAUAUAUAUAUAUACAUAUCACUACGUUAAUUUUCUCCACAGAAAUUAAUGUACGAUUGUAUAAUAUAGUAUUGGCCUUUUUUAUUUGAUACUACUUGCUUUUACUGUACAGCAUCACCAAGUAUCAUUUAUUAGAGGCACAAAUUCACUCUCAUUCUUAACAUAACACAAUUAUCUCUCUAUCUGAUCAAAAUCUAUAUCGUGUUUUAGCACGGUCAGUUGAUCAUAAAAAAGAGCAAGAGGGUAUAUAGUAUAACAUAAAAAGUUGCCCUUCACAACCUAGCUAAAGUCAUUUAUAAUGACACCUUACACUAUGAUCAAUUUAACUUCACUCACUCUACUUGAACAAAUGAGAACAUCUGCUCCUAUUCUAAUCUCUCUUUCAGCAGUGUCAGUAACAUUCUUAAUAGCGCCAUCUUCUCAGGCCCACUCAAACUACAUCUUCUCAGGCUGACGCAAUCCUAAACACUGCCACCACAGUAUAUAAGCAUAGAGUGAGAGGGGUUCGACAUGUCACCAUCAUUAGGAACGAUCAGAGUAUCCUCGACAGGGUAAUCACAAGCCGUCUUAGAAGUACCAUCUGUGAGCAAUACAUGCUCAUUUAGGUGGAUUAGUUACAUUAGUAUACUGAUUGUCGAGUCACACCUCCCUAGCCAUGUCACCGUGUGCAACAUGCGUUCUCUAAAAACAUAUCCGACUAGGUUGAUUGUGACGAUUAUCGUGAGGCUUCUCACAAAGAAGAGAAAGGCUGAUUGGACAGAUGACAUAUCUCACCAGAUCCAAAAGCUCAAGCUGCACUCUGACGGCUGGAGCUUAGAAAUGUGACAUCCAUUAUGUGUUUCCCCCAGUUGCAAUGUAUCUGGUGAGAUACGUCUUCCGUCCAAUCAACUAUUCGACUUAGUAAGCAAGCUCAAGGAUUAAUACAAUGGCUAUGAACCUUUCAUACAACAGGCUGAUAAUAGCCCUAAACAUGUAACUAGUUUUGUUUAUAUAUGUAAAAUCAUCUAAAGGAAUACAACGAUUUACACAGAAGAAUUCUUAUACAAAUCGAAUUAUGAUAAUGCAGGCAAGAAAAAUAGAAUAGAAAUCCCCCAAGACAAGUUUGGGUCGGUCGGAAUUAAGCUAUAUCCAAUUCUAGCAAUUUAAUCAUCAUUUUAAUAGGUUUACCUAGUCGAGCAAUUCUAAAUUAACAAAAGUUACAAAACAUUAUAACUAAAUAUGCAAAUAACACAUCAUGCAUAUACCUCUGAAUAAGCCCCUUCAGACCAGAAUGACUUCCUCGGAUAGAAUCCAUAUGCAAUAUGCAUGGCAACUUUAAAGAUUUCCUCGCAUCUGAAUCUGAUUAAUCACAAGUACAAUAUUAGAUAAUAUUCUGUAUUUGUGUAAGAAAUUAUUCACGGCUUAACACAGAAGUAACUUGCCUUGAAAGUCAGCAACUUCACCAGGAUGGCAUAUCACUAUAAGACUCCAGUGGUAACUGUCAUCAAAAGCAUACAUUUUGCAAAAACCUUAAUAUAAAACGGAAAUCUUCAGUUAGGACAGCUGGCUUUCAGAACUUACUUGAAAUUUACGGGAACAAAGAUGUAAUCCUUCUCAAAUAAACUAAUUUUUCGUGUCCAUCUACGAACACUCCGAAAUGCAGCUCGGCCUUCAACAAAACUAGAUAGACUUUUGCCAAGUUCAGCCAGUUUUGGAUAGAAAAAACUGUUGAAAAAGUGAAAUCUGUGUCUCUCGCUGGGGUCGAUUUUAUUCUUCAAGUAUCUAGACACCAAUCAAGACAUUCAUUAGAGCAUUUAAAAAGAAAUAUCAGAGUUGGUAUAUCGUUAUGAUGCUAUACAAUGACAUUUUGUUUAAAACGAAUUACAAGUCCUGUUAAAUAUAUAAAUAUUAUCAUAAUUUCUGUACUGAAUGAAGAAUUAGGCAUGGGCUGGACCUGGUUUCUGGUAAUACCAUUACUUAUAAUUUAGAAUCUUUUGACAUAUAAUAAUUUUAAUAAAUUUGUGGCUCAACGAAGCCAACCUCUAAUAUAAGUAGUACAUCUGAACCACCUAGCAUAAUCUCAUCAAGCUGUACAACUCAUAGAAAUAUAUCGAGCGACUGCAAGUAUAAGAUAACAAUAUUAUCGAGAGCAUUACUUAAGAGCUAGUAACAAAAAAGUGAACUCUUAAAUAAAUGCUUCUUCAAGAGCAUUACUUACAAAAUACUCGCAUAAAGUUAUAUAUAAAACAAUUAAUAUAUAUAACAAUUACCGCCGAUGUGUUAUAUCCUUAUUACAAUACUAUCUAAUAAAUUUUUGAAGUCUCAUAAAAUAAAAGUAUUAAAUACAUGAAACAGGAUAAACAUAAGUAUAUCAUGGGGGGAAAACCAAUAAUUGAAUAAACCAACUUGUCUAAUGGUUUCAUUUUCUUUAUUCUGUGUGUGCCAAAGAUAACAUCUUUUGUAGAAAAUUUCUCUUAAAUUUGUGUUCAGGGUCUUGAAAACUUCUCAAAGUCUAUUAACUAUAUAAUUAUAUUACAUUUGAACUUGUGAAGAGUAAAGAAACAACAGGAUGAUAAAAUGGAUAUCAAAAGAUUGGUGAUGUUAAUUUUACCAAAAAAAUAUCUGUGAGGUACAGGAAGAAGCUUUCACUCUUACCAACAUAGAGCCAUGUUAUACACCGUUUUAACACAAAUGUUCAUCUGAGUGAAAACUAAUAUUUGUAGAUGAGAGGUAAGAACCCAGAGAAACACAAGUUGUGAUUCAGAAACAAUUACACAAGUUUCAAUCUACCAUGCUUUCCAGUUUUCUUCUGAAAAUAAUUAGAGAAGGAAAAUUCAAGAGUAUUAUCUAUCAUCACACAACAAAAAGAGAAGAUAGCUGAUGUGCACAGACUCUUGAGAAGGUGAAAUGAAACAAACUUACUUAAUAUAGAAGUCGAUAAUUGUAUCAUUGACAAAUAUCUCUGGUUCUAGCCGAUCAACGUCUCUCUUACUUAUAGACACAGCAUCUGGAUCCCCUUUCGGAUAUAUAACAUCUUCAAAAGAGUCCUCGAAACUGAAAUAUUUUGAAGAAAGCAAUAAUCAAAUUUUAUUUUAUUUUUUUGGUAUGGGCAAUUACGAUAACCUAAAUACCCACAGACACGUACCACCCUCGUCCUCUACUUUUCAAUAGCAUGAAUACAAAUAAAAGGAUCGCAAGGUGGGGCUUGUGUCAAAUUCCAGAAAAAACAGCAUUUACCCACUUUCAAGACCCUUCAUCCUAGACAUCCAACUCACAAGGCGCUUAUAUGAUCACACUAAGACUAAGAGAUUAUGAGAAAGCUAACACUCAAACAUCAAACCUAGUAUAGAUCCUUGACAAAAAAAAUCUCAACUUCAAACUCCUUUACAUAACUCCAAAUUGUCACAUUAACUCCAAAAAAUAAUGUUGUACAGAUCCAAUCAAUUACAUAACUUAUGUUAAAGUUUAGAUAAAUGACCUCCCUCCUAAUAUGAUAAUUAAAUGCAUUUUACCAUAAAUCCCACGGGUAGAUUUCUAAUUACUAGUACAAACAAGGUGAUAAAAAAAUUCUGCGAAUAGCAUACAACAAGAGCAUUAGCAACUCAAACUUAAAUUUGUGACAAGGACUACAAAUAUUUAUAGGAAAUGCCCUUUCCAUAUUUAUAAAACUCGAACAGGAAUAUUUAAGAUUAAAAAAAAAAAGAAUUAAAAUGCUCAAAAUGUUUCAUAUAAUAACAGUUCCUCCAUUGAGGAAAGAAAAAACACAAUCAUAGAAGUUCAAGUUGUUCAACCUGACAAGUAACAUCAAAAUAUUACCAUUCUUACGUUGCAUUAAAAAAGUACAAUUUUCGCUCAUUUUCAGGACAUGGGAUGCAAAUGAAUGAAUGUUUAUUGAUUGUAUCAUUAUAAAAUUAGCACAAGAAGCUUCUGAAAUAAUAAUAAAGAAUAGUUCAUAAUGUGUCUUCACAUAGUAGUUCCUCCAUUGAGGAAAGAAAAACUCAACUUCAAUGCUAACAUGAGAAUGCAGGAUUCCCCACUUAAAGGUUGCUAUUUGGUCUUCUGAAAAGCCAGCUAUAGUUGAUGUGGGUAGAGGCAUAUUGUUAUGAUUAAAGAUGAUUAACUUUAUUAUCUCCACUGUCCAGACUGAGGUGCAUGGCAUUUUGGUACUGCAGAAGAUCUUAUGGAUGAACGAUUGAUAUUCAAUAGAUCUCCGAUCAAGUGUGUGGAAGGAUUCUUCUCAUCAAUUUAUCCCAGAACACUCCCUUAUACAUGCAAGUCAAGACGGAGCUUCUAACUACACGUAUAAUAUAUUAUUGCAGUACAAGUAAUCAGGAUAACGUAUUCAUUUGUUUGAAAUACGAAUAUCAGAAAAAGAAAAGUAGAUAUAAGGUAGAGCCUGAGUGUCACAACUCACAAUUAAAUAAGCAUAACUACACCAGAGAACAUCAUAAAUAUAGCCUAGAACACAAUAGAGACUUCAAGCGACAGAAAACUAUAAUUUACAGCAGAACCUUGGGAUAAACAAAUGCUGAUUUUGAAAGGAGAGUUGCCUCUAUAAGAGCAGAGCAUGAUUAGUUGAUUACAAUCACUUACGAAGGAAAAUAGUGUUUCAAAGGGAAUAUUUUGCUCUGACCAGGUAACACCUUUGCAUCCCUCUCCAUAUCAGAACUACAAAAAAGCAAAUCAAUAACAAUGUAUUAAUAACCAAAAAAAAAAAAGCGGCUAUUUCGCAAAAAUUAUAAUAACAUCAUCAAAGAUCCCUCGACGAUUAGAAGAAAAGAAAUGCUUCUAGCCCAAAAAUCACAUAUUCUAUAUAUUUAUAUAUAUUUAUAUUACCUGUUUUGUAUAUUUAAUGGUAAAUGUUAUAUUGUCCAAGAAAAAAAGAAAAGGCCACUGUUUUGUAAAUGUUAUAUUGCCCAAGAAAAAAAAAUGAAACAUGUAAAAUGAUGUUGGAAAGAAAAUUUCAAAUGAUGUUGAAAAGAAAAUGUUGUGCAAUAUGCCAAAACAGCAUCUAGUAGCAAUCCAAUCAUAGUCGAUUUAUAUAUAUAAGAAUCAAUGUGUGAGUCUGGUUUUGCUCAAAUCAACCCAAAUUCCAACUCCAUUGCUCAAUUAAUAACUGCCAUAGCUUCCACUAGAAUACAAUCGCCUAAGCAACUCAAGAUGCCUCAAGUCAAGGCUCUGUCUAGAAGUUCCACAAAUUCCAAAGCCAGCAUUAUAAUAUCUGAAAACUAUUAUUCGUGAUCAUCACCGUGCUCUGCUUGGAAUAAGAAAAGCAGACUGGUUGGACACAAAAAUAGGAAAAAGAUUAAUCUUUGGUCGCUUAAAAGAAAGUAAUACCCAACCUAACGCACAACGAUGGCAACAAUGACGGCUGAAAAGUAUAUUUUAUUAUAAAACACAUGUAUACAUGCAUAUCCAAUUUCCUCACAUCCAAAAUCAUAAUAAGCAGCUCAUGGUAUCUUACCUUAGCACAAUGUUCCACAAAGGCUGGUAGACAUCCAGAGACAUAAUCUCAUCCUGUUUUCUGUACCAGUCUUCAACAAUUGCAAACUUGAACUCCUCAAAACCUUUAUAAGUUUGCCACAUUAAUCACCGUUGUCUAUCUAAAAAAAUACUUACGAAACAGAAAAGGUAUAAAAUCAAAUGUAAAUACUCAGCAACUUUACUUGGUUUGCCGUAUUAAUUACAUAUGUUUAUCCAAAUAAAUACUUGAAAAACAGAAAAAGUAUAGAAUAAAUGUAAUACAGGUUUAUCUUUUUAGUUUAUAAGUUCAGAGUUGGGAUUAUUAAUUUAAUAUAAUACAUACACUUUGAUUACCUUUGAUGUAUCUGAAUCUCUGAUCUGUUACACAGAACGUGAUCAUACGGGUAUGUGGGAAGUCACGACGAACAUAAGUUAAAACGCAAGUUGCUACAACAGGUGGUACAAGUAGGCAAAUAGAGGUAUGUGAAUGUUGCCUCUUAUAAAGCUGAUGUGAGGACCCCGAAAUCGCAUAUGAAGGUUAAUACGAGGACCAGCUAAUAGUUAUCCUUGAUUUUUUAAACAUUGUAUACAGAAAUAAUCAUAGCACGAGUAUAUUACUUUAAGUCUACCAACAUAAACUUAAUCAUAAGUAUUGAUUUACAUGAAAUUAAAGAAAAGAAGAAAUAAUCAUAGCACAAGUUGUUACUUUAAGUCUACCAACAUAAACAUAAUCAUAAGUAUUGAUUUACAUGAAAUAAAAAAAAAGAAGAAAUAUAGUUGCCGGAGGAGAAUCUGCAGUGUUUGAUAGAGUCUCUUACAAAAUGUAAGAAAUAAUUCUAACCCAAAAAAUUAUUAGGGCGGCAUUGAGAACUGACCAACUAAUCCCUUGAGUGUCUUUCAAAAUUAAGAGGUAUAGAUAUAUGAGGUGUGAUAAAUAAAUAAGUUACGGAGAAAAGGUUAAGCUAUUUUGGAAUGUUGAUGAAAUCUAGAAAGUCCUACUUCCUAAGGAAGGUAGACAUAGGAGCCUAACAUAUAAUGGUGAAUAAGUCCUGUGUAAACAUAAAAACACUAGUACUGUAAGUACUCAAGAAUAGUUUAUGCACCAUAGCAAGUUCAAUCAUUUAUUGGGAUUCAAGUCUAAAACCAUGGUGCACAUUCAAGAAUCAAGAUCAAGUAGGAAAAUACAAGAAACAAAAGAUGUCAUGUAAAAUAUGGAAUUUACUAAGAACUACUACUCUUCUGAUUAUACUCAUCUAGAACCCAAGAUAUAAGGGUGUUAAUGUAAGUCGACAGCACCAAUGAAAAAAGAAACUUUUCCUUUGCAAGUGAAUCAAAAAUAAUGCAAGGAAAAUAUAGUCACGAGUUGCAUUGCCGAACCUGUAUGUCCGUGUACGUCUUCGGUUGGUGCUAUUCCUUUUGAAUUCACUCUGAUUAUUACAGUUGCCAAUUCAAGCUAACAUAAAUUAUGAUACAAGUGUUAGAUUUUGGUGCCAAAUGAGGCAAAAAAACAAAUGUAACAAAUUAUCAAAUUUUUAAAUGCAUCUAGUAACUUACUCUCUCACACCACUGACAUUCAAUAUUCAUGAUAUGAUCAACUCCCCACUGAAAUUCAAAUGUUUCAGCUUUCCAAUAUCCCUCUAUCUUAAUGCAACUGCUUGAAAAGGUUACCACAGAGUCUGUAGAAUAUUUAUCACGAUAUACAAUAUAAUCAGGGAGACAUUCAACAACAGCAUCCCCACCAUCCUGCGAUCACAUGGAAAAGUGUUCACAAUAAACAAACAGCGAACAGAAAAAAACAAGUAAUGAUAUCACAAUUCACAGCGACCAAAGUAUAUCUUUAACAAUAAUAAACAUAAAGAAACCAUGGAGGACAUAUUUAAAUAACCUAAACAAGAAAUAUAUCAAAAAGGUCACCAGAUAACCUGAUUCCAAAACAUAGAGCAGCAACAAAUGAAGCACCUAUAUGGGUGCCAAAUCAGUGCUUAUUGCUUAUAAGUGAGAAAUGACUAUUAAGUGAAAAGUGACUUUUAAAUUAUGUGUUUGGACAAUUUUUUGGAUAUUUACAACUUAUUAGUUAUAAAAAUUAUUAAUAUAAAAUAAAAUGGGUCUUUCUAGUGUGUGCCCAUGGGCACACAUUAUACACUAAAUUUGAUGAGAUUGGUGGAUUGUAAUUGGUGGACUUGGUGUAAAUGCAGGGGGGGCAUCUUUAUUUAUGAUUAGAUGACCAAUAAAAAUGCACCAAACUCAUAGAAUUUAGUGUCUAUUGGGUGCCCAUGGGCACACCAUAGAAAAACCGAAAUAAAAUAUCAUAAAUUGUCUUUUAAAGUGAUUCUAUACAGUUGUGUAAAGUCAAAUUUUUUAUAAAAAAAAAAAAUAAGUCACCAAAAGAAGCUGGCAUCAUCAACUUCUCAGCUUCUAGCUUAUAAGUCGGAAGUAGAAACUGAAAAAUAAAACGCAGCUGAUAAACAAGCACUUAGACUUUAAACAUAUUUACUGUUGUGUAAAAACUGAAUCGGUCCUUAACAAGCAUGAUCAUGAAGUUAAUUAGCAAAUUUCUGGAGAAAUGAUGAUAUAGCAAUAAGAAUUUUUUAAGCUUUAAUUAGUGCAUUAUACGUCUUGUAGUCUUUACAUGCUAAUUUUAGUAACAAAGUUUAUAGAACAGUCAACAGACUGCUUAAUGCAAUUAAAACUGUUAUCCGUGACGAAUUCAAUGUGAACUUUAGGCUAAUUCUAUGAUGAAAACAACGAUGAUGUGGUAAACAAAUGUAACUGUAUUUAUUAUAAGGUAACAUGAUUGGGGCACUUUAUCCUGUUGAUAUAUUUUUCCUCAACUGACGUAAAUAGACUGGAAAUAUCUUGCAAAUAAAUCAAGUUUUGUAACAGGCCUUGUUGAGCUCAAAAUUUGUCCUUUUAUAGAUCAUUAAAGCUAUAGAACAAACCCUCAUGUAGGAUAACCAUGAUUAUGGUGUACCAUCAUCGGAUCCAAUUAAUGACGAUAUACGAGAUAGAGAUGAACAUUAUAUAAUAUUUUAUUGAUUUUUCCUACCACUUAUGCUUUUAUUUGGUUGGACAUGGUUGAUAUUUGGUAUGUUGGUGCAAUUAUGUAAUAAAAAUGCUUAAGUUGAAGUUGCUACUCCAUUACUUUUGAUUAAAAUUACAAAAUUAAUGAGAUGGGUUAUACUUAUAUUGAUAUAACAAAAAUCAAUAACAAAAAUCGUUAUAUUGAUAUGGCAAAAAUAAUGAAGAAGUGCAUAUCAAAAUAUAGCUAAGGACAUCAAUUCGUUAAUAACAAAAAAUGUGUGCAUCAUGCAGAAACGAAAAACAAUAUAAACUGUUUACCGUUUGCCAAUCGUCAAAGCAAUGAUUUGAUAGUGGUUCAUCAAUGGAAUCUGAAAAAAUAGCAACAAAACAGUAAACAAGGAAGUGUAAGAAAAAAGAUACACUGUAAUUUAUCCCUAGGCAUUACAAUGAAUAUUCAAAUAUUAUGUUUGCCAGAAAUUUAAACCACAUAAGCACCAACGGGCAGCAGAAAAAUCAUAAACAAAACUGAACGAACACUGUGCAAAAUGUUAACCAACAAGAUGAGUAUUUAUUACCACCAUAACACAGCAGACCAAAAAAAAAAAAAAAUGGACCACACAUUGCAGGAAAAGUCAACCACAAAGAUGUGCCUAAAAAACACAUCACCGUGGCACGAAAUGCGCGUCUGUGAGGCGCACCCCACGAUAUGGGCAACAGGUGAUAUGCAUCCCAACGCGAUGAGAAAUUACAUACAAAAACAAUAAACUGUAAGGCUAUACCAGAGUAAUUUACAAUAUUUAGGUAUAACCAAAAAUUUGCCAAAACACGCAACGCUACACACGCUGCCAAAAACGUUAACCGCUGACAUGUGCAUAUAAUACACAACUCCGUAAUGCGGAACACAACCUGUAUCCGAAGACGUGAACAUCAUGUCGCGAUCAUCAUCGCCAAUGCCAUCAGCACACUCAUCCUGUAGAAACUUUCAAACCAAAAAUCAUCAACCACAAAAACACCUCAACAAAAACUCAGCGAAGUGUAGAAUUCAACUACCUUGUGAGUAGAAUCAAACGUAGGAGACUCUGGUCCGGGCUCAUCAUCGUCGUGUUCGGUGAAAUUCAUAUUGACAUGAAGUUCUGUAAAGCUUUUUGGUGAUGGAAUUAGGGUUUGGUGAGGAGAGAAGGUGAGAUUGAAGGUGUUUGAUUGGAUUAAAACAGGGUUCUGUUGGGAAAUUAGUGAGAUGAUUUAGAGGUUAAUUAGGGUUUUUGAGCUGUGAACUGUGAAAUUGUGAAGGGUUUUUGACCUUUGAGUUGCCUCGGAGCUUUCCCCAACGGUAAGAAUCUAAUAUACGCAGAUAAAUAAGAUAUGUUUAUAGUUUUCGCUGCUUCUUUUUUUUCACAAGUUUUUACUUUUUUCGUUUUAUGUGAGAUAUAUUUAUUUAUUUAUAUAAAAUUAUAGUUUAUUUUAGAAAUUAUUGCCUUUCUAAUUUUUUUUAAUAAGACUUUAUAAUGUGUAAUGAUAAGAAAAAAAUAAUUUAUAUGCAGAUAUUAUUUAUAUCAUUUUAGUUUUGAUUUUCUCAUGCAAAAAGUAAAAUUUGUUGUUGUUUUUAGAAUCCGGAUAAAGAGGUAACUUUUUGUUAGUUUACAAUUUAAAAAAUCAACUAAAAUAACAAGCGAAGUGCUGAAAUUUUAGCGAUUACAAGUCAUUCCAAGCUUUUCUUCAAAAGAUAAUUAAUUUAAUGGUGAAAAAUCCUACAACAUUUUUUUUGAAUAAAAGACAAGAUUUCCAUUAAGAAGGUAAAUCAUAUAAAAGAGUCUUCAUCAAGUAAGGAUGGGGAGAUCGACAAUUUAGCAAACAUGAAAUUCUAGCCAUCCAUCAAAAAAAAAAGGGGGGGAGACUGACAAUUUAGCAAACAUGGAAUUCUAGCCACUAGAUCAGCUACCUUGUAGAAACCCAUAUUAGACCCCAUAAGCUCUAGACACGUAUCGAUAAUGUGCCCUUCCUCAAACUGAUUAUCACAAUUUAGCAAACAUGGAAUUCUAGCCACUAGAUCAGCUACCUUGUAGAAACCCAUAUUAGACACCAUAAGCUCUAGACACGUAUCGAUAAUGUGCCCUUCCUCAAACUGAUUAUCACACUUGCGUCUAAUGGCCUGAAUGGUGAGAAGAGAGAGUGAUUCAAUAAGAAACCAUCCCUGGCAAACAAACAACCUUCCCAUUUACAAACUCUCCCUUGUGAUCAUGGAGAACCAUGCCGAUCGAAAAUUAGUCCGAGCCUGGCAUAACGGAGGCAUCAACAUCUUCAGCCAGCCUGUAUCCGGAGGAUUCCAUCUCUGAGGGUGGCCUGUCAUAGGAGAAAUAGUCAUAGUCUGCAUAGCUGCUCUGGUGUUUUUGGCAAUUUACCAGUCUGAGAAGAAUUUAGUACUCCAAUCCAUAGCAGUGGCAUGAGUAAUGGUCUUAUUUUCCCAGACCUUUUUAUUUCGGAAGAACCAUAUGCCUCAAAGCACUUUAACAAUCACAGUGAUCUCCUCCCCAGUAGCAAAACUAAGCUUCUGAACCAGCCAAUGUUGAGCAUUGUCAACAUACAGCAUAUCAAAUACACACCCAUGCAAAAAAUUAAUCGAACUUUCUUUUCAUCCAUGCAAAAAAUUAAAUUGAUUUGAACCAAGAUGCCAAGCAACUCGUUCUCGCACCGGAAUUCUAUUAACUAGAGUUCAGCGUAUGAUGAGCUUCUUCCUCAGCUGGUUCAAAAGAGAAAUGCUUUCCAAAUCCAAUUUCAUAUCAUAUCUGAUUCUUCAUCAUAGCCAAUAUCAUCAUGCAAGUAAUCAACCUAAAAGGAGUCAAAAUGCCAAUCCCUCCUAGCAAUGGCAAUGUCGACAAUCAAAAUUAUUUGAUACAAGAAAAGAUAUCCCAUUCAUGGUAUCACACCUUGCCCGACAGUAGUCAACUCUAAAAGAACCUAUAGUUGAUCAUCAGGCCAUCCUCUGCCUCAAAUUUAGUCUAUCACAAUCGAAAUGCAACUUCUAGGAGAACUUAUCUGAAAACCAGCUACAAUCUAUAUUAAAUUAAAUAGCUGACAAUUGAUGAGAGAACUGCCGGAGUUUAACUAAUGGAAAUUAAUACUGAUGGGUAAAGUUAAUAAUAACAGAGGUGAGAAUUCAUACAUAAUAUCUUCUGAUCGAGCUGACUAUUAUAUUAAAACAGACAUCCCAAUCAAUCCAUUUCAUAUUAUUUAAAAAGUACAAACACAGAUCUGCAUAAAUUCAGCCAGAAUGUUAUUUCAUCAAUUUUAGUGAACAUUCUAUGACGUCGUAGAUGCAGAACUAGAGAGCCUAAGGCAUUCACUCUGGCAUCUCUUGAGACAAGUAUCAUUCCAAUUGGGAACUUGGUGUUGAUUAACACAAACAGUUCGAGCACACGCAUCAGCACAAGCAUCGAGUUCAGAAACUCCACAAACAGUAACACAAGUAUCAGGAGUUGGUUCUUUAGAAAAUGCCCCAACCUUUUUUAACAUUCUCUUAGAUGUGCACACCCUUUCACAAACAAAUAUCUCAUCAGAGCUCUUCUCUCUCCCUCUUACACUUUUCAAUCUCUGCACCUCCGCACGCCUGUUCUUCAUCCUCCAUGCUUGACCUCCCACAACUGCCGGAACAGCCGCCCCCAAUACUGACCACCACCAAUCCACCAUUAUGUGCCCAGUUUACUCUCUCCAAUUUCUUUCUAACUUGUCUUUCUUCUGGUACAAACCUGUAUUUUGAGUAUAAAAUUAUUUAAUCAGGUAAUAGUAAUAAUGAAAACAAUAGAAGAACUGGUACAUUAUAAUCAUUCAAAUUAUAAUCAAGAACUAAUGCUUCCCUUGGUUGGAAGGAAUAAAAGCAGGUGCUAAUGAUCUGAAAUUUGUAAUAUGUAGUGUCUAAAGAUAUUCUUAAGAAAUUUCAUUUUUCAUAUCACUAUAUAAUUAGCGUGAGAAAUUUAAGUGGUUGAUCGUCUAGUAAGUACCGGAUCUCACACUGCUAAAAACAAGAAUAAGAAACAGUGAUAUAGUCCCCGUAAAAAUACAAAUAAAUAGAAAAUGUUCAGUAAUUCUACUUUUAUAUUUGUCAUAAUAUCUAUGAGUUUGAAAUGGGGUACAAGUAACAAAGCAGUAAAAUUUAAAAUAUUAUAAUAUAUCCUUAUAUGGUAAUAAAUAAAUUAAAGAUGUUUUAAAAAAAUAAAUAGCAGAUAAAAAUCAGAAGAGUAAACCAAAAAACUAAACAUUGAAUUAUUAAAAAAUUAAUAUUUAAUAGUAACUCGUGAUGUGCACAGGAUAUAAGCUAAUUAAUACAAAAUUAAUUAUACAGCUUCAUUCCACCAAUUCAGCCAUUCAGGGAUUAAUUCCUAUUCCUUCUUCCAACUAAUUUUUUUUUCACAAACCACAUCGAUCAUUUUAAAUGUUGGACUAUCUCCUUUCUUCCCUCUUACAUCCUUUCUUUCACGUUUAAAUUAAGAGUAAAUUGCAAAGUGAUGGCCGGACUUUACCCAUUUUAGCGUUUUAGCAUUAUAAUAAUUCUUCAAAAAAGUGGCUAAGGGUCACUUUUUGAAGGAAAAAGAGAGUAUUUUUUUACUCGGAAAUAGGCCCUUUAACAUAUACAAGACAUAAAAACAAGACAUGGUCACCAUAUUACAAAUUUGAAAUUUUGGCCACCAAAGUGCUAAACAGGGUCAAGUUUAGCCACAAACUCAAUAAUACACUCUUAAAUUAAUUAACAAACUUCCAAGUUAUUGCUUUUACACAACACACUAACUCUCUCUUUAGCCUGCUCCAAAUCCAAAUUUUACUGUGCAUCCAAACUGUUAUUUUAGCAAAUCCAUAUUUUUCCAAAUUAUGUCGUUCACUUUAGACUUUUGUCCUAAUUUUUGAUAUCAAACUAGUAGCUAGUAGCUAGAUAGUGUCAACGUUUAAACUAAACACUGUUUAUACGAUCCAUUACUAAAAUCCAGUGACCACCGCUAGACGCACAAAUAUUUCAGUAAAAUACAAAUCGAUUAUGAAUUAGGCAUAAAAUCACAAACCUGAGUCCAAAAUUUCGACGCCAUCUUGCGAAAACUUCUCUCAACAAAAAAAAAAAUUCAAAACAAAAACUGCACACAACAAAAUCAACCAAUCAAAAACGAAUCUUUAUCACACAAUAAUCGAUCAUUUACAUCACAAAACAAAUAUCGGUCAAAAUCUCUUUAAUUUGAACCCAAAAUCAGCAUGUGCGAGUGUGAAUAAACAGGAUAUUGCUUAACAAAUCUCGACGUAAACUAUAUAAUUGAAACACGAUAAGUGCACAUAAGAAAGAAUAAAGAUGCAAUCUUGACGGUGAAUAAAAAGAGAAAUUGUAUGGAGAUUGGUACCUUUGAGAGACUGAGCGGCGGCGAGGAGAAGCUAGGGUUUCGAGUGACAAAAGAGAAGGGGGUAUGAAUCAAUUUAUCUUUAUCGAUUGUUUCUUAUAUAACUGAAGUGUCCUGUUCCUUGCCAACCGGUUGCCGGGAAGGGGUUAUCUAACACACUGUACGGGGGCCAUUAGAUUUAGAUUUCAAGGGCUCAGAUCCAAUUUGAGUUUUCAAAGGAUCCGCUAUAAAUAACCGCGGAAGGGAAAUUUUCUUUUCCGCGGAUAUUAUCCGCGGAAUGGGAGUUCCCCUUUCCGCGGAUAAUAUCCGCGGAUGCAUUCCAAACUCAAAAUUGGAUUUGAGCCCUUGAAAUCUAAAUCUAAUGGCCCCGUACAGUGUGUUAGAUAAUCCUUUCCCGGCAACCGGUUGGCAAGGAACAGGACCCAUAACUGAAACAGAUAAAUCAGGGAAAUCAGGGAAAUAAAUUAAUAAUUGAUUUUGCGUUUGUUACUGUUUUUUCACUUAAGGUCAAAGAAAUUUUAUGUAUUGGAAUUUAUUUACUUUUUGCAAAAUAUGUUUAAGAAAUUUUAAUUAUAUUUAUACUUUCGCUCGAGACUAGCUUCGAUUAUGAUAUUUUGGAAUUUGCUUUUAAAAACAUUAGCAUAUUAAUAUUAGAGACCAUAUUCAUAUAUUAGAAAAAGAUUCAAAAUUGUAUUAAAUAUGUUUUAAGUAAGAAUAUAUAUUGUUUAUUUAUUUAUAUAUUAGAAAAUAAUAUAUUUUUUACAUAUCCAUGUAGUUCACAUUAUUAAUAUCAUAUUUUAUUUUAAUCAAUCAUUUUAGUUGAUCGAAAAAAACUAAAAACUUUGUAUUUCAAAAGACUGAUCAUCAGACGUCUUCGUCAGGACAAAACGGCCGAAAUCAAUGUCCACAAACUCAAACUGACGUGGAACUGGGGUGUUACAAACACCCUCUCCACCCCCGAAUUCCGACAACAUAACUAAUCAAGCUUUCAAGAGUCGACGUGGGACGUGGGACUGAGGUGUUACAAACUCCCUCCCCACCUCAAGGUUCUGGCAACUUAACUAAUCAAACUUUCAAAAGUUGGCUCUAAUACUAUAUGGAAUCAGAGUCAAAUUUCAAGUCUUUUUGAAAAAUUGGGUUAAGUUCCAAAUUUUGAAUCCGAAUAUAAAUUCAAAUACACUAGCCAACUGUCACAACUUGGAUAAUUUAAAAGGCCACCACAUACCUCAAAAGAUGAUAAUUUGUUGAUGUAAUUGAAAGUAUUACUUAUAUUUAUAAACUGAACUAAAAUUUUCACACUCCUCGACAUAGAAUUGGACGAGAUGGAACUGGGAUGUUAUAACUUUAUACUUCCAUGUUUCAUGAUAUGCAAAAGCAACAGAAAUGAGUAUCGAUUUAUAUCUCAACAUGUUUUUUUCUAGAUGUGUUAUUUUGAGCAAUUUGAUAUUGAAUUGUUUCCACAGGGGCCUUUCCUCGGAAUAAGGUUUGGUAAAAAACGCAGGACGAAAAAAAAAAUCUGGGAAUAUGCUCCUUUUAACAUAAUUAGUUGAGAAGGCGCGCGCGUUACGGCGGUUUAUAAAAAUUAUAUUAAUGAUUCAAUAUUAAUAUUUGUAGAAUGCAAUAAUUUUGUGGCUGUCUAUAAAAAAUAUAUUAAAAAUCUUAAUAUUAUAAAAAUCUUAUGUAAUACCAAUACUAAUAUAUAAAAUUGCAAAAUUGGAUUAUAAUUCAUGGUGAAAAAAUAUAUAAAUUUCUACAUGUUAUUAACAAUUUAAAGCACGACGAAUCAUAAUUUUAUUUGUGUUUUUUUAAAAAGUAAUCAUUUUCUUACAUUGUCACAUUCCUCCAAAAUUUUUUAAUUGAUUGUGCACAAAAACAUCUAACUUAAAUCCGUGACAUGUCGGUCUAUAACUACCCUUUAUUUUUUAAUAUUAUAUUAACAGUCUUCACUUAAAAGUUGCUUGAACGGAGCAAACAGAUAAUGCAUGAAUAAUAUUUUCCUGUGUACAAAGUAAAAUCAUAUAAAAAUUAACAAUAACAAACCUGUCUGUGAGCAAAACAAAUAUUAUAAAAGAAUAAUCAACAAACAUAUAUCACUAAUAGUUAAUUUAUUGAUAUCAUCUAUCAAUAUCUUGUCAAGAAUAUAUUUUUCUCCCGUGUUUGGAUUAGUCGACUCCCACAUAGCGGUCUAUAACUACCUUUGCUUGCAACAACCUUUAUUUUUUUAAUACCGUAUAAACAGCCUUCACUUAUCGUUGUGGAAGAAUGGCACCACCGAUUUAGAAAUCGAGCAAGAGAACUAUCACCAGAGACAGGUAGGGUUGUGGGAUUGAGAGAGAGUAGGUUGUGUUUAGAUGAUCCGAAACCCUGGAAUCUAUAGGGGUAUUUAUAGGUGCAGAGAGACUUGUGUGCUACUCUUUGAGCGAUGUGAGAGGCGCCACCUACACGUCACUCGCUUCUCCUUUAUAUGGAAACAAAAUAAGAUUAAAACUUUCAUGCUAUUAUAUUCCAUAAAUAAUCUUAAACAAAAUCAGAUUCUGAAACUUGCUUCUAAUAUAUCCGAAACUAAAAAAGAUAGUUCUAAUUUUUGAUAUUUUUCAUCCAAAAAUUCCAGAAAAUUAGAAAAAUAGAACGGAGCGAUGUGAGAGGCGCCACAUACACGCCCCUCGCUUCUCCUUUAUAUAAGUAUAUUAAAAAUUCCAGAAAAUUAGAAAAAUAGAACGGAGCGAUGUGAGAGGCGCCACAUACACGCCCCUCGUUUCUCCUUUAUAUAAGUAUAUUGAUUGAUGAUUUAACCGGGGAAAACUAGAUAAUGCACUUCAAAUAAUUAGCCUUUACCACUUCAAAAUAAUAAAAUCUUAACUUUGUAAGGGAAGGGAAUUCCGUUGUGAAAUUCACAUGCGUUUUGUAUAUAAGAGCAUCUCCAACCAUACAAAGCCCUUGUCUAAAAAAUGAGUUGGCAUCCCAAAAUUAAAAAAUAUAGCCAACGUCCUGAAAAAAUAUCACUCCAACCACGUGAACCUGUUGUCUAUAAUUUUAGCCAACCUCUUAUGGAUGGCUAAAUUUGUCGAACCUCUACAGGUCUGUAGGAAGAUUGCACAUCAUUUAUUACUAUAUUAAACUGAUAUAUUCUAUUUUAACAAUCUAAAAUAUUAAUAACAUACUAUUUUUAAAUUAUAGCCAACCAAUAUAGCCAAUACCAUUGAAGCAAAAUGUAUUACAGGUUCAGCAAAUUUUACAUAAUGUCUUACAAGUCCAAUUUAGCCAACGAUUAUAGCCAACACCGUUGGAGAUGCUCUAAGCAUGUCGAGUUACCAACUCUUAUGAUAUUCUCAACAUCAAGAGACAUUAAUAAACUGCUAAAUGAUCAUAUGCAUGCAAAAGUAAUACUUAAAAGCAAGUCAUAUUGCCAUCAACAGCGUAACAGUAAGUAUAUUAACUGAAUUCUUAACCAUAGGCCAAAAGUGUUUUCUUUCUAAAACUGCUUGCAAAAAUACACCUAAUGGACAAAAGUAGAUGACUCCCAUUCUAGCAAAAAGCUUGGCAUAAACAUGAAGUAUAAUGAUAUGGGUGCAAAAGUAUUGUAGUAUUUCAGUUCAAGUCUAUUCUGUAGUUUUAAUACAGCUGUCAAGUAGUGAGUAUUUGGCGGGAAUUUCAGUUAGAAGUAGUGCCAAAUAUUGGUGCCAGUUGUAUUAAAGUGAACCUAUGCUGUUAUUUUCAUUUUAUGCAAAUACAAUUUCAGUCUCUUUCUCAUCUAUUCUCUUCUCUCCUCUAUUCUCUUCUCCACUCUCUCCCCUUCUGAUAUUGUUGUGCUGCUAAUGGAUGACAAUCCUGUAUCAAUGGUAUCAGAGCAUAUCGUUCCUCUCUAGUAACAUUUUAUACUUGCAAUUGUUGUGAUUCUGGCGCCGUCUACUCGAAAAACUCACGCAGUUGCCUUAAACAUGGACGAGCAAUUGAAGGAACAAUCGAGAACACUGGAUCGCAAAAUCGAGGAGCAAUCACGCUCCUUUGCUAAGAAAUUCGAGGAGAGUGAUCGGAAAAUUGAUGAGAUGAUGAAAAUGAUGCGAGAAGUUAUGGCUGCGCGAUCUACGCCGUUAGCGCGGGAGGAGUCCUCUCGAACAGAUAGUGCUGUGAAUACAGGUACACAAAAUCCUCGUCCUCUCAGCUAUACUCCGAAAGUUGAAUUUCCGAAAUUCAAUGGUAGUAAUGCUAGGGUUUGGAUUAAGAAGUGUGUGAAGUAUUUUAAUUUGUGUAAAAUUCCGGAGGAUCAGAAAGUAGAUCUUGCUUCACUGCACAUGACUGAUAAGGCAGAAAUGUGGAUCUCUAACUACUUGUCUGUCAAGAAGAAUGUGGAAUGGUCUGAGUUUGUAAUUGACUUGAGUGCUAGGUUUAAAGAUGAAUCUGGAUUAAAUGUAGUGGAACAAUUUAACAAGCUACAACAAACUGGUACAAUUGAGGAUUUCAUAGAUGAAUUUGACAAUGUAAGGUCUCUCAUGGAGCAGAAUCAUCAUAUUUUGCCAGAUUCUUAUUUUUUGGACAGCUUUAUUGGUGGCUUAAAACCUACAGUGAAACCUUUUGUGAAAGCAUUUAAGCCUGUAAGUGUAGCUGAAGCUAUUAGGUAUGCAAGAUUACAGGAGGAAUCAAUUCAGGCAAAUUCACAAAAGUUAGGAAAGACCACUAACUCUGUGUAUACAUCCAAGCCAUAUGCCUCUACUGUGUUUAGUGCCACUACUUCUAACAACAGUAAUAAGCCACCUCUGUUGCCAACUCCACAGACCAAACCUGUACAAACAGUACCACCUAAGAAUGGACAGAAACCUUUCAAAUUCAUACCAGCUGAAAUUCGAGCAGAGAAAAUAGCAAAAGGUUUAUGCUAUUAUUGUGAUCAGAAGUUUGAAAGAGGUCACAAAUGCCAAUUCAGAGAAUCACAACUAUUCACUGUGGAGAUACCUAGUUGGCAGGAAGAAAACAGUGAAAGUGAUGAUGAAUCUGUAGAUUUGGAAAAAAUUGAGGCAACUACUGGUGAUCCUUGUAUUUCAGUUAGUGCUUUAGCUGGGAAUAAAUCUUUCAGUACUAUGAGAGUAAGGGGAAUGUGCACUGGCAGAUCAUUACAUGUUUUGAUAGAUUCAGGGAGCACUCACAACUUCUUAGAUUUGCAAGCUGCUCAAAAUCUUAAGUGUGAGAUUCAUCCUAUUGCUACACAAACAAUUACAGUUGCUGAUGGAAAUCAAAUCAAGUGUCAAGGAAUGGUUAAAAACUUUACCUGGAAAUUUAAGGGACAAGAGUUCUGUGCUGAUGUGUUGUUGAUUCCCUUGGGAAGUUGUGAUAUGGUUUUAGGGGUGCAGUGGCUCAGCACACUGGGCACUAUUAAGUGGGAUUUUCAGAAGUUGUGGAUGGAGUUUUUGUAUCAGGACCAGAGUUUCAAAUUGAAGGGUCUCAGCCCUAAAAAGCUUAAGGUAGUAAACUCUCCUUGUUCUGGGAAGUUAUUGGCCACUGCUGCUCAGAUUUGCUUGCUGCAAGUGAAAGAAGUGUCUUCUAUUAACCCUCAGGAACAGACUACUAAAGAUACUCAUCUUAAUCCUCCAAGCAAUGCUACUGAACUUGAGCUCUUAAAAACACAAUAUGCUGAUAUUUUUAAAGAGCCAGAUUCAUUACCUCCAGCAAGAGGAAUAUUUGAUCAUAGAAUACCUCUUCAAACAGGAGCAAAUCCUGUUAACAUCAGGCCUUAUAGAUAUCCCCUCAAGCAGAGAGAUAUUAUUGAACAAAUUAUUGAAGAAAUGCUUGGCAGAGGUAUUAUUCAGAAUAGUACCAGUCCCUUUGCAUCUCCUGUAGUAUUGGUGGGCAAGAAGGAUGGUUCCUGGAGAUUGUGUGUAGACUACAGGGAACUUAACAAAAGCACUGUCAAGGAUAAGUAUCCCAUACCUGUUGUGGAUGAGCUGAUUGAUGAGUUAGCUGGCUCAACUGUUUUUAGCAAAAUUGACUUAAGAGCAGGAUAUCAUCAAUUGAGAGUGCAAGAAGAAGAUGUUUUUAAAACAGCUUUUAAGACUCAUAGUGGUCAUUAUGAGUUUUUGGUGAUGCCAUUUGGUCUCACCAAUGCUCCUGCUUCUUUUCAAGGGUGGAUGAAUUCUAUCUUUAAGCCUCUGCUGAGGAAGUGUGUGUUAGUGUUUUUUGAUGACAUUUUGAUCUAUAGCAGCUCACAGGAGGAUCAUUGGCAGCACCUGAAAAUGGUUUUUGAAUUGAUGAGGGAACAUUCUCUAUAUGCUAAGGAUAGCAAAUGCUCAUUCCUUAUGGCCAAAGUGGAGUAUUUAGGUCAUUUUAUCUCUGCUGUGGGAGUGGAGACUGAUCCAAGAAAGGUUGAAGCUGUAGCUAAGUGGCCAACUCCUGUGUGUGUUAAAGAUUUAAGGAGUUUUUUAGGAUUGGCUGGGUAUUAUAGGAAGUUUAUCAGGAAUUUUGCUACAAUCAGCAAGGAAUUAACAAACCAGUUGAAGAAAGGAGCUUUUCAGUGGAACAGCUCAGCCCAACAAGCUUUUGAUAAUUUGAAAACAGCACUAGUUACAGCUCCUGUAUUAGCAUUGCCAGACUUUAACAAAGUCUUUGUGGUGGAAACUGAUGCUUCCAAAGAGGGAAUUGGAGCAGUGCUGAUGCAAGAUAGUCACCCUUUGGCUUUUCUUAGCAAAGCUUUGGGGCCAAGAUGGCAGAAUUUGUCAGUUUAUGAGAAGGAACUACUAGCUAUUGUCUGUGCUGUACAGAAAUGGGAACAGUACCUCUGUGGGAGUCAUUUUAUUAUUAAAACUGACCAAAAGAGUUUGAAAUGGCUCCUACAACAGAGAAUUUCCACCCCUUUUCAGCAUUUCUGGCUAUCAAAACUGAUGGGUUUUGAUUAUGAGAUACAGUACAAAGGAGGAACUGAGAAUGUGGUAGCAGAUGCCUUAUCUAGAGUCCAGGGUUCAGAAAUUCUUUGCUUGGCCAUAUCUGUAGUAGACUCUGAUUUGAGGCAGAAGAUCAUCAAUGCUUAUAAUGGUGAUGGUCAAUUACAGACUGUAAUUCAGCAAAUUCAGCAAGGAGUGCAGCACUCUAAAUUCCAGCUACUGGAUAAUUUGUUGAGGAGAAAAGGUAAGAUUGUAGUAGGUUUGGACCUGGAAUUAAGGAAAGCAUUAAUGGCUUGGCAGCAUUCUUCACCUGAAGGAGGGCAUGCUGGUAGAGACAUCACUUUACACAGGCUUCAACAACUUUUUUAUUGGUCUGGUAUGUCAAAGGAUGUGAGGCAGUUUGUAAAACAAUGCCUUAUUUGUCAAGCCUCCAAAUAUGAUACCAGUGCUUAUCCUGGACUACUGCAGCCUUUACCAAUUCCUAAUGAGGUCUGGAUUGAUGUGUCAAUGGACUUCAUUACUGGUUUACCAAAUUCUAAUGGUAAAGAGGUGAUUUUAGUGGUGGUUGAUAGAUUGAGCAAGUACUCACAUUUCAUAGCUCUACCACAUAACUUCACUGCACCUUUAGUGGCACAAGCCUAUCUAGAUCAAGUGUUUAAACUACAUGGGUGGCCUAGGUCAAUUGUGAGUGAUAGGGAUCCUAUCUUUUUGAGUAAAUUCUGGAAGGCUUUGUUUACAUUACAUGGUACAGAUUUUUUGCUAUCUUCUUCCUACCAUCCUCAAACAGAUGGUCAGACAGAAGUGGUAAACAGAUGUUUAGAAGGUUAUCUGAGGUGUAUGUGUGCUGAGGUUCCUAAAGAGUGGGCUGCCUGGUUGCCUCUAUCAGAAUGGUGGUUUAACACUCAUUUCCACUCUGCUACUCAAGCAACACCUUAUGAAAUUGUAUAUAAUCAAGCUCCUCCUCUCCAUCUGCCUUAUUUACCAGGAGAGUGUCCAGUUGAGGCUGUGGACAGAAGCAUGCAGAGAAGGGAACAGAUGAUUACUACAUUAAAGGGGCACCUGUUGAAGGCCCAAGUUAGGAUGAAAAAUCAGGCUGAUAAGCACAGGUCUGAGAGGGUUUUUGUAGUGGGGGAAUGGGUGUGGUUGAAACUUCAGCCAUAUAAACAGUUUUCAGUCAAGUUCAGAGGCAAUCAAAAGCUGGCUCAAAAGUAUUAUGGUCCUUUUCUGGUUAAGGAAUGUAUAGGCAAAGCAGCCUACAAAUUGCAGCUACCUGAAGAUGCUCAAAUACAUGAUGUUUUUCAUGUUUCACAGCUUAAAGCAUAUCAUGGGCCUAGUCCAUUUACAGUUGUAUUGCCAGAUUGGAUAGGAUUGUCCAAGAGUUCUAGUGGUGUGUCUUUGUUGCCUGCUGCAAUUCUGGACACCCGUAUGAUCAAGUUCCAAAAUGCGCCGCAAAUUCAGUAUUUGGUGCAAUGGGAGGGCCAACCAGAUUCUGAGGCCACGUGGGAGGUUGCUGCUGUGUUUAGUGCUAAGUUUCCAGCUUUCCCAAUUCCACAAAAGACUUGAGGCCAAGUCUUUAUAAGGGGGAAACUAUGAUAUGGGUGCAAAAGUAUUGUAGUAUUUCAGUUCAAGUCUAUUCUGUAGUUUUAAUACAGCUGUCAAGUAGUGAGUAUUUGGCGGGAAUUUCAGUUAGAAGUAGUGCCAAAUAUUGGUGCCAGUUGUAUUAAAGUGAACCUAUGCUGUUAUUUUCAUUUUAUGCAAAUACAAUUUCAGUCUCUUUCUCAUCUAUUCUCUUCUCUCCUCUAUUCUCUUCUCCACUCUCUCCCCUUCUGAUAUUGUUGUGCUGCUAAUGGAUGACAAUCCUGUAUCAUAUAACUGAGAUAACACUAAUGACAUCAUAAACAUACUUUUACUCGUGCAAGUCCUCAUCUGAACUUGGCCCCUCUUUUAUAGGUGCAAGUCUCCUUUUCUUAGUGGCCUGCUGCACACCGGUACCCAAGCCGUCACAAAUACAUUGCCCUGGCGCACAGGCUGCAGACCUAUCUUCAAGUGCAUCACAAUUUCGGGGAGGUGAUCCACAAUUCUUGGAA
Molecule: long non-coding RNA, 30131 nt
Filed under: Daucus carota (carrot)
Lineage: Eukaryota; Viridiplantae; Streptophyta; Magnoliopsida; Apiales; Apiaceae
Description: long non-coding RNA (DCAR_LNC001823)
Source: RNAcentral